RNAcentral lists this ribosomal RNA (1248 nucleotides) under Sesame phyllody phytoplasma. Its description in RNAcentral is "bacterial SSU rRNA". It matches the Rfam family "Bacterial small subunit ribosomal RNA", at positions 153 to 1399 of the family's 1533-position model. Lineage: Bacteria; Bacillati; Mycoplasmatota; Mollicutes; Acholeplasmatales; Acholeplasmataceae. The record is from RNAcentral.
GAAACAGUGGCUAAGACUGGAUAGGAAGAUAAAAGGCAUCUUGUAUCUUUUAAAAGACCUAGUUAAUAGGUAUACUUUAGGAGGGGCUUGCGCCAUAUUAGUUAGUUGGUAGGGUAAUGGCCUACCAAGACGAUGAUGUGUAGCUGGACUGAGAGGUUGAACAGCCACAUUGGGACUGAGACACGGCCCAAACUCCUACGGGAGGCAGCAGUAGGGAAUUUUCGGCAAUGGAGGAAACUCUGACCGAGCAACGCCGCGUGAAUGACGAAGUACUUCGGUAUGUAAAGUUCUUUUAUCGAGGAAGAAAAGCAAAUGGCGAACCAUUUGUUUGCCGGUACUUGAUGAAUAAGCCCCGGCUAAUUAUGUGCCAGCAGCCGCGGUAAGACAUAAGGGGCAAGUGUUAUCCGGAAUUAUUGGGCGUAAAGGGUGCGUAGGCGGUCUAGUAAGUCAGUGGUGUAAUGGCAACGCUUAACGUUGUCCGGCUAUUGAAACUGCUAAACUUGAGUUAGAUAGAGGCGAGUGGAAUUCCAUGUGUAGCGGUAAAAUGCGUAAAUAUAUGGAGGAACACCAGAGGCGUAGGCGGCUCGCUGGGUCUUAACUGACGCUGAGGCACGAAAGCGUGGGGAGCAAACAGGAUUAGAUACCCUGGUAGUCCACGCCGUAAACGAUGAGUACUAAGUGUCGGGUUAAACCGGUACUGAAGUUAACACAUUAAGUACUCCGCUUGAGUAGUACGUACGCAAGUAUGAAACUUAAAGGAAUUGACGGGACUCCGCACAAGCGGUGGAUCAUGUUGUUUAAUUCGAAGAUACCCGAAAAACCUUACCAGGUCUUGACAUGUUUUUGCAAAAUGAUAGUAAUAUCGUGAAGGUUACCAGAAACACAGGUGGUGCAUGGUUGUCGUCAGCUCGUGUCGUGAGAUGUUAGGUUAAGUCCUAAAACGAGCGAAACCCUUAUCGUUAGUUGCCAGCACGUUAUGGUGGGGACUUUAACGAGACUGCCAAUGAUAAAUUGGAGGAAGGUGAGGAUCACGUCAAAUCAGCAUGCCCCUUAUGACCUGGGCUACAAACGUGAUACAAUGGCUGUUACAAAGGGUAGCUGAAACGCAAGUUCUUGGCCAAUCCCCAAAAACAGUCCCAGUCCGGAUUGAAGUCUGCAACUCGACUUCAUGAAGUUGGAAUCGCUAGUAAUCGCGAAUCAGCAUGUCGCGGUGAAUACGUUCUCGGGGUUUGUACACACCGCCCGUCA